ACGAACGCUGGCGGCAUGCCUAACACAUGCAAGUCGCACGAGACCUUCGGGUCUAGUGGCGCACGGGUGCGUAACGCGUGGGAACCUGCCCUUAGGUUCGGAAUAACUCCCCGAAAGGGGUGCUAAUACCGGAUAAUGUCUUCGGACCAAAGAUUUAUCGCCUUUGGAUGGGCCCGCGUUGGAUUAGCUAGUUGGUAGGGUAAAAGCCUACCAAGGCGACGAUCCAUAGCUGGUCUGAGAGGAUGAUCAGCCACACUGGGACUGAGACACGGCCCAGACUCCUACGGGAGGCAGCAGUGGGGAAUAUUGGACAAUGGGCGAAAGCCUGAUCCAGCAAUGCCGCGUGAGUGAUGAAGGCCUUAGGGUUGUAAAGCUCUUUUACCCGGGAUGAUAAUGACAGUACCGAGAGAAUAAGCUCCGGCUAACUCCGUG
Molecule: ribosomal RNA, 432 nt
Filed under: uncultured bacterium
Lineage: Bacteria
Description: partial 16S ribosomal RNA
Rfam family: Bacterial small subunit ribosomal RNA
Source: RNAcentral